RNAcentral lists this long non-coding RNA (18328 nucleotides) under Marmota monax (woodchuck). The record is from RNAcentral. Lineage: Eukaryota; Metazoa; Chordata; Mammalia; Rodentia; Sciuridae.
GCACAGUAAGAACUUUUAAGAGUUAAUUAUAAUCAGAGGUAUAUAUGUGGGCUUGGGCUGUUUAUGUUAAAUUAUAUUGAAACCUAACUUGCUUGCCUCCUUCUCAUUUGGUGGUGGUAAUAUUUUGGUGCUGGGGAUUGAACCCAGGGCCUGUACUCACUGGUGAUGUCUGGAAUUUGUAAAGUAAGUUGGUCUAAUAAUUAAUAUGAAAGCCUUUAAUUCUUAUGUAUUUUACUCAGUGUCUGAAAAGGGAAGACUACACAUCUUUUUUUUUUUUUUUUUUGGUACCGGGGAUUGAACUCAGGGGCACUUAACCACUGAGUCACAUCCCCAGUCCUAUUUUGUAUUUUUAUUAGAGACAGGGUCUCACUGAGUUGCUUAGCUCCCUGCUUUUUGCUGAGGUUGGCUUUGAACUUGUGAUCCUCCUGCCUCAGCCUCCCCAGCCAUUGGGAUUACAGGCAUGUGCCACUACUCCUGGCUUACACAUCAUCUUAUAGAGUAAUUUGGAUAUUGCUGCUCUAGAAUCCCUGCCUUUUGGCAAGUUGCAACCUUCAUUGUUGGCAAUUAUGCUUUUAGAAAUGCUUACAGUAAACGGAACUUAAUGUCAAAAUCUACAAAAGCUGUUUCUGUUAAAAUAGUGAUACAAAUACUCAUAAUGGCUGGAAUGGAAGUUAAACACAGAAGUUAGUCAAGAGAAUUUGCUGAUUUGCAUUUAAGUAUCAGUCAUUUUUGGUUUAAAGUGGGGUGAGUUUUAGGAUUAUAUAAAAUAAGAAUUUUGCACAUAGUCUAGUUGGAGAGACAAGAUCUUGACUUGUGCUGCUCAGCCUCGAAACAUUAUUUGUAUCUCUGAGUCUUCAUUUUCUCACUUGAAAAUAGGGAUAAUGACACAAUCUUAGAAUUCUUUUGAGAGAUAAAUGAAAUAGUGUUUGUGAACAGGUAAGAGCAUAACCUUCACAUGUAUUAACAUUUUUUUCUGUCCUCCGUAGUCUAGUGAUGUAUGAUUUGUUCACAUUGUAGCAGUGUUUCAUGGUAGCAGUAAUUCUCAGACAGUGUAUGUUAAGUGUAUUAAUAGUAAUGUGGAUAGUAAGUGUCAGGAAGAAUCUGAGACAGGAAAUCACUGGCCUGGGGGUAUUAAAAGGAAGAUUUUAUGGAAGACUAUAGAUCUGAAUGGAGCUUUUAAGGAUGAUCAUACUUUCAGGUAUGUGAAGGACAGAGAGUGAGAGCGCACAGAUGGGAAAUGUGAUCAACAAAGGGAAGAAUUCUGUAAAAGCUCAUGUUGUGUUGUUGUGAAUACAUAAAUAAAUACAUGGACAAUUGUAAGAGCAAGUACAUAGCCUCAUAUGCCAUUACAGACAGUAGGUAUAGAAUUAGUAUAUAAUUGUAAAGCAUCCAUAGCUUAGGGCAGUACAAACUAAGCUUUUAUUCCCUUACUUACCUAUAAAUAUUUAAAUAUUUGUUUAUAAAAUACAUAUGUGAACUCUUACCAUUAGCCUAUCUCUCAAAGUGUACAAUAUUCCCUUAGUAAAGUUUAUUGUUAUAGUAUUUAAAUCUAUUUAAGUGAUGUUUUAAUAAUUUCUUAUAUUUUGACUGACUUGAAAGAUGUGACUAAAUUGUCAUUGUUUCUACCUUAGAUGUUACCAAGAAGAGAAGAAAUGUGAUCUCUGCUAUUUCAUGAUUGGCAUUUGCUAUUAUUUUUGAUAUUAUAUUUAGUCCAAGGGAAUUGCUGAUUUGAGUUAGUCCUGAAUCUAUAAAUCCACUUAACUGGGCACAUACACACCCCAGGCCAGUGAUUUCUUGCCUCAGAUUCUUCCUGACACUUACUAUCCACAUUACUAUUAGUACACUUAACAUACACUGUCUGUAUCAUCAUACACUUAAAUUAAUAAAUGAGGACCACUGUCAACCCCUUCUCAUUGUGAAACUUUGGUAUUUCUUACAGGGUACCUUUCGGACCAGGCAGGGGUAUCAGUGUCAUUUUGAAUGUUAAAUGUUAGUGAAGCUCAAUUUUUUUUCUUUUGGACACUGAAACUAGAGUGGUAUUCCUCAGACUGGUUUUUUUGGCCACCUGCAUCAGAAUUACUUGGGGAUGCUGGUUAAAAUAGUAAUUUCUGGGCUCUCCCUACACCUUCUUCAGGUGACUGAAGUUGACACUUGCUGGCUAGUUUAGAGCUUGGUGACAUUAUGUGGUUUAGAUCAUUUAAAACAUUAGGGAGGGCUGGGGAUGUGGCUCAAGUGGUAGCGCACUCGCCUGGCAUGCGUGUGGCUCGGGUUCGAUCCUCAGCACCACAUACAAAAAAAGAUGUUGUGUCCGCUGAAAACUAAAAAAUAAAUAUUAAAAAAUAAUAAUAAAAUAAAUAAAACAUUAGGGAGAUAGGGUCUUAAAAACUUUCAUUAUAAGAUACUUUUUUUUUUUUUUUUUUUUUUUUAAGGUAGGGAAUUUGAGUAAGCUUAUGUCUGGAUGGAAAAGUGCCCCCUCUUGGCUGGGCAUGGUAACACAUGCCCGAAAUCCCAGUGGCUUGGAAGGCUGAAGCAGGAGGAUUGCAAGUUCAAAGCCAGGCUCAGCAAUUUAGCCAGGCUCAGCAAUUUAGCGAGGCUCUAUCUCAAAAUAAAAUAUAAAAACUGGCUGGGGUUGUGGCUUGGUGGUUAAGCACCUCUGGGUUCAAUCCCCAGUACACCCCCCCAUCCCUGGCGCAAAACAACAAAUCUGUUCCUGUUAGAACCCUCACUGGAUUGAAAAUUAGAGAAUUUGCAUUUUUUAAAUUUCAAAAUUUGUUUUGUAAUUUUUUUUAUUAGGUAGAAAUUAAAGGUGGAGCACAUGAUUAUUACAAUGUUCUACCCAACAAGAGCCUAUGGAAAGCUUACAUGGAGAAUGGAGAAAAGCUGGGAAUAGAGUUCAUUUCAGAAGAUACAAUGCUGAAUGACACUUCAGGUAAUUAAGUUCUUUUAUUGUAUUUCGAGCUACCUGAGGAUGAGUAAUGCCAUCUUCAAUUAAAUGGUUUUGGAGGUAAGGAAGUACUGCUGAUGUUUUUAAUGACAUUUUCACAAACUUAAUGGUUGGGGAAAACUAAUGGAUUCUUCAGUGAAUAUAGACUGUCAAGUUAGCAGACUUGUUUUUAUAAGUAGCCAACCUAGUUUUUGAUCUGUUUUCUGAAUAUUUCUAGUGUUUCAGUUUCCUUAGUUCUAAUUUUUGAAUAAGCUACUAAAAUGGGAUAUAGAAUUUUUUUAUUGGUUGUUCAAAACAUUACAAAGCUCUUGACAUAUCAUAUUUCAUACAUUAGAUUCAAGUGGGUUAUGAACUCCCAUUUUUACCCCAAAUACAGAUUGCAGAAUCACAUCAGUUACACAUCCACAUUUUUACAUAAUGCCCUAUUAGUAACUGUUGUAUUCUGCUACCUUUCCUAUCCUCUACUAUCCCCCCUCCCCUCCCCUCCCAUCUUCUCUCUCUACCCCAUCUACUGUAAUUCAUUUCUCUCCUUGUUUUUUUCCCAUUCCCCUCACAACCUCUUGUAUGUAAUUUUGUAUAACAAUGAGGGUCUCCUUCCAUUUCCAUGCAAUUUCCCUUUUCUCUCCCUUUCCCUCCCACCUCAUGUCUCUGUUUAAUGUUAAUCUUUUCCUCCUGCUCUUCCUCCCUGCUCUGUUCUUAGUUGCUCUCAUUAUAUCAAAGAAGACAUUUGGCAUUUGUUUUUUAGGGAUUGGCUAGCUUCACUUAGCAUAAUCUGCUCUAGUGCCAUCCAUUUCCCUGCAAAUUCCAUGAUUUUGUCAUUUUUUAGUGCUGCAUAAUACUCCAUGGUGUAUAAAUGCCACAUUUUUUUAUCCAUUCAUCUAUUGAAGGGCAUCUGGGUUGGUUCCACAGUCUAGCUAUUGUGAAUUGUGCUGCUAUGAACAUCGAUGUGGCAGUAUCCCUGUAGUACGCUCUUUUAAGGUCUUCAGGGAAUAGUCUGAGAAGGGCAAUAGCUGGGUUAAAUGGUGGUUCCAUUCCCAGCUUUCCCAGGAAUCUCCAUACUGCUUUCCAAAUUGGCCGCACCAAUUUGCAGUCCCACCAGCAAUGUACAAGAGUACCCUUUUCCCCACAUCCUCNNNNNNNNNNNNNNNNNNNNNNNNNNNNNNNNNNNNNNNNNNNNNNNNNNNNNNNNNNNNNNNNNNNNNNNNNNNNNNNNNNNNNNNNNNNNNNNNNNNNNNNNNNNNNNNNNNNNNNNNNNNNNNNNNNNNNNNNNNNNNNNNNNNNNNNNNNNNNNNNNNNNNNNNNNNNNNNNNNNNNNNNNNNNNNNNNNNNNNNNNNNNNNNNNNNNNNNNNNNNNNNNNNNNNNNNNNNNNNNNNNNNNNNNNNNNNNNNNNNNNNNNNNNNNNNNNNNNNNNNNNNNNNNNNNNNNNNNNNNNNNNNNNNNNNNNNNNNNNNNNNNNNNNNNNNNNNNNNNNNNNNNNNNNNNNNNNNNNNNNNNNNNNNNNNNNNNNNNNNNNNNNNNNNNNNNNNNNNNNNNNNNNNNNNNNNNNNNNNNNNNNNNNNNNNNNNNNNNNNNNNNNNNNNNNNNNNNNNNNNNNNNNNNNNNNNNNNNNNNNNNNNNNNNNNNNNNNNNNNNNNNNNNNNNNNNNNNNNNNNNNNNNNNNNNNNNNNNNNNNCUGCAAAUAGUGAUAAUUUAAGUUCUUCUUUUCCUAUUUUUAUGCCUUUAAUUUCUUUCGUCUGUCUAAUUGCUCUGGCCAGUGUUUCGAGAACUAUAUUGAAUAGAAGUGGUGAUAGAGGGCAUCCCUGUCUUGUUCCAGAUUUUAGAGGGAAUGCCUUCAAUUUUUCUCCAUUCAGAAUGAUGCUAGCCUGAGGCUUAGCAUAGAUAGCUUUUACAAUGUUGAGGUAAGUUCCUGUUAUCCCUAGUUUUUCUAAUGUUUUGAACAUAAAGGGAUGCUGUACUUUGUCGAAUGCUUUUUCUGUGUCUAUUGAGAUGAUCAUAUGGUUCUUAUUUUUAAGUCUAUUGAUGUGGUGAAUAACAUUUAUUGAUUUCCGUAUAUUGAACCAUCCUUGCAUCCCAGGGAUGAAUCCUACUUGAUCAUGGUGCACAAUUUUUUUGAUGUGCCUUUGUAUCCAAUUCGCCAGAAUUUUAUUGAGGAUUUUUGCAUCUAGGUUCAUUAGGGAUAUUGGUCUGUAGUUUUCUUUCUUUGAGGUGUCUUUGUCUGGUUUCGGAAUCAGGGUGAUGUUGGCCUCAUAGAAUGAAUUUGGAAGAGCUCCCUCUUUUUCUAUUUCCUGAAAUAACUUGAAAAGUAUUGGUAUUAAUUCUUCUUUAAAGGUUUUGUAAAACUCCGCUGUAUACCCAUCCGGUCCUGGGCUUUUCUUGGUUGGUAGUCUUUUGAUUGCUUCUUCUAUUUCAUCCAUUGAUAUUGGUCUGUUCAAAUUGUGUGUAUCCUCCUGACUCAGUCUGGGCAAAUCAUAUGACUUAAGAAAUUUAUCGAUGUCUUCACUAUCUUCUAUUUUAUUGGAAUAUAGGUUUUCAAAAUAAUUUCUAAUUGUCUUCUGUAUUUCUGUAGCAUCUGUUGUGAUAUUGCCUUUUUCAUCCCGUAUGUUAGUAAUUUGAGUUCUCUCUCUUCUUCUCUUCGUUAGCAUGGCUAAGGGUCUGUCGAUCUUAUUUAUUUUUUCGAAGAACCAACUUUUAGUUUUGUUAAUUUUUUCAAUAGUUUCUUUUGUUUCAAUUUCGUUGAUUUCCGCUCUGAUUUUAAUUAUUUCUUGCCUUCUGCUACAUUUGCUGUUGUUUUGCUCUUCCUUUUCUAGGGCUUUGAGAUGAAGUGUGAGCUCAUUUAUUUGUUGGUUUUUCCUUUUUUUGAGGAAUGACCUCCAGGCGAUGAAUUUCCCUCUUAAAACUGCUUUCAUUGUGUCCCAUAGAUUCCGAUAUGUUGUGUCUGUAUUUUCAUUUAUCUCUAAGAAUUUUUUGAUUUCCUCCUUUAUGUCUUCUGUAACCCAUUGAUCAUUCAGUAACAUAUUGUUCAUUUUCCAUGUGAUGUAGGAUUUUUCCUUCCUUCUUUUAUCAUUGAUUUCCAGUUUCAUUCCAUUAUGAUCAGAUAAAAUGCAUGGUAUUAUCUCCACCCCUGUAUAUUUACUGAGGGUUGCCCUAUGGCAUAAUAUAUGGUCUAUUUUUGAGAAGGAUCCAUGUGCUGCUGAGAAAAAAGUAUAUCCACUUGAUGAUGGUUGAUAUAUUCUAUAUAUGUCAGUUAAGUCUAGGUUAUUGAUUGUGAUAUUGAGUUCUAUAGUUUCUUUAUUCAACUUUUGUUUGGAGGAUCUGUCCAAUGGUGAGAGAGGUGUGUUGAAGUCACCCAUAAUUAUUGUGUUGUGGUCUAUUUGAUUCUUGAACUUGAGGAGAAUUUGUUUUAUGAACGUCGCAGCACCAUUAUUUGGUGCAUAAAUAUUGAUAAUUGUUAUGUCUUGUUGGUGAAUGGUUCCUUUUAACAGUAUAUAAUGUCCUUCCUUAUCCCUUUUGAUUAAUUUAGUCUUGAAGUCAAUUUUAUUCGAUAUGAGGAUGGCCACCCCUGCUUGCUUACGAGGACCGUGUGCGUGGUAUAUUUUUUCCCAACCUUUCACCUUCAGCCUGUGUAUGUCUUUUCCAAUCAGAUGUGUCUCCUGGAGGCAGCAUAUUGUUGGAUUUGUUUUUUUAAUCCAUGUUACCAGCCUAUGUCGCUUUAUUGGAGAGUUUAAGCCAUUAAUGUUUAGAGUUACUAUUGAUAUAUGGUUUGUACUUCCAGCCAUGUUUGAUUAUUUAUCUUCUUUUUUUUUUUUUUUUAAUUUAGUUUGUUUCUCCAUGGUUAGCUUUCCCCCCGCCCUCUGUCUUUAUAGAGGCACUUCCCACUGAUGGUUUUGGUUAUUGUUUUUCAUUUCUUCCUCGUGUAGUGUUUUGCUCAAGAUGCUUUGCAAUGCUGGUUUUCUGGCUGCAAAUUCUUUUAACUUUUGUUUAUCAUGAAAGAUUUUUAUUUCGUUGUCGUACCUGAAGCUUAAUUUUGCUGGAUACAGAAUUCUUGGUUGGCAUCCAUUGUCUUUCAGUGUUUGAAAUACGUUGUUCCAGGAUCUUCUCGCUUUCAGCGUCUGUGAUGAAAAAUCCGUUGUUAACCUUAUUGGUUUACCCCUGAAUGUAAUCUGCCUCCUUUCUCUUGUAGCUUUUAAUAUUUUCUCUUUGUUCUGUAUAUUGGAUAUCUUCAUAACAAUGUGUCUUGGCAUUGGUCUACUGUGAUUUUGUAUGCUCCGUGUCCUGUAUGCAUUUACAAUUUGUAUAUCCGUUUCCUUUUUUAUUUCUGGAAAGUUUUCUGUAAUUAUUUCAUUCAUCAGGUUACUCAUUCCCUUGGUUUGAACCUCUAUACCUUCCUCUAUCCGGAUGACUCUUAAGUUUGGUUUUUUUAUGUUAUCCCAUAUCUCUUGGAUGUUUUUCUUGUGAUUUUUUACCAGCCUUUCUGAGUUGGUUAGACUCUUUUCAAGAUGAUAUAUUUUGUCUUCAUUAUCUGACGUUCUGGCUUCUACUUGCUCCACUCUGUUAGUGAUACUCUCAUUUGAGUUUUUAAUUUGGUUUAUAGUUUCCUUCAUUUCUAAAAUUAUUGUUUGAUUUUUUUUAUAAUCGCUAUCUCCUGAUAAAGAUGCUUAACUUCUUCUUUUAUCUGUUUAUGUAAUUCAUUUUUAAUGUGUUCUUUCACUGUUUGAAUUUGCUGUCUCAUAUCCUCUUUAAGGUUCCAUUCCAUCUGUCUAAGGUAUUCCUUGAGUUCUUUAUAUGACCAUUUUUCUGAUGACUCUAGGUCCUCCUGACUAUUUAGGCUGUCCUGCGUUGUUUGUACUCCUUUUCUUCCUUGCUUUUUCAUGCUGCUCAUGUUACUUCUUGUUCUGUUUGACUGCUGAGUUACUGUUUACUCCUAUAAAUUUAUUUGAUGCUUGGGAGGAAAGGUAUUAGAAGGGAAGGGAAGAAGUGAGUAAAGAGAAUGAGAGUAAGCAGGUAGAAUUCAAGGAAGGGGGAAUAAGAAAAUUGAAAAGAAAUGAAAAGACAAAAGAAAAAAAAUAGAAAAUAAAAAAAGAAAAAAAAUUAAAAAAAAAUAAAUUAAAAUUAAAAAAGAAAAUAAAAAAAUUAAAAAACAACAAAAAAAAUGAAAAUGAAAAAAAACCGCAAAUUAAAAAAAAUUAAUAAAUGCAGUCUUAGAGUUUGAUUAACUUCUCUUCCAGUAGGUGGAGCUGUGCCCUCUCAAUACGCGGGAACCAAUCACUGUGCAGCAGCUCCUCCUCCCAGACUGGGCGGGUCUCCAAUCCUGAGUGCCUAGGGCGUUCUCUUGUGUCUAGUCACUUCCCCACUUUUCCUCAAGCCAGGCCCCGCUCACCAGUGACGCUCACCACAAUACUGGCUACACGCCAGGUCUGCUGCUCCCAGGAGCCCUGUUUUCAUGAACUACUGGGCACACUCUCCCUGUUUGCCAUUCCCUCAGACCCUAAGUUUUUAGAGCUUGGGGCUGAGAACCCUCAGUAAAUUUUGCUAGCCCUCCAGUAGCCACGCCCCCGGUAGCUGGUGCAAGAGACCUCAGUUGUCAGCACUGGUGGGAGCGGUAGCCGGGAGUUCCGCGCCGCGGGUCCCGCGCCACUCCUGAUUCCCUUGGUCUGGCUAUCGCGCUCACGGGAGAGCUGGGAGGGGCCCUUAAGGUUUCCCUGCUGUGUGGAGAGGGAAGGCUAGGAGAUUACACACCUGUCGCCACUGGUUUCAAUGAAGUUAUCUCCUCCGCCGCAUUCUGGUGACGUCAGUUCUCUGCCAUGGUGGUAUCCCAUGCAAAUGGUGACAGUUCGUUCCCUUUGCCGGGUGACCAAUGCAACGGGUGGGUCCUGAGUGUCUCUCCCAAGCCCCAUUUCAAUCCUGUGGCCACUGCCUAUGAAGGCUCGGUUGGCAUUAACCUCCGUAGGAUCAGAAGGUCCGACCAGUUGUUUCAGCGGGAUUGUUUAGUGCUGAGUCACAGCAGUUUGUCUUCGAGAAGCAAGGGAACGGGAGCUUGAAUUCAGCCAAUCCAGGCUCAGUGUGUGUUCUGAGAGGCCCAGACUGUUCGCCUCAGAUCCACGUCAGCUCAGCAUUGCCUAGUGAUCCUGAGCAAACAGCAUUUAGACGGUUUACGACUCCCUAUGCCCACGCAGCUGAAGAGGUCAGAGACUUGAUCUCUCCGCGCCCGCCGCCAUGUUGGAUCAGGGAUAUAGAAUUUUAAUUUAUUCUCAGUUAUUAUAAUGAGCAGGUUAUAAAGUAUUUAGUUAUUUGGGGGCAUUUUCACAUUCUGAAGAGUCACAGACAGCUGUUAGGAUUUAAAAUAUAUAUGCAUGCAUUAAAUAGCAUAAUUAAUAUGUUAAAUAAUAUUUGGACUAUUUUAGAUUUUUUCUUUUUAAAGAAUAUUAUUACUAAAGAGACCUGCAAGUUACAGAUGUACCUCCUAAGGUACAAAAAUAGAUAUUGUGAAGUAGAACCAAAAAUACAUCAUAAUAAAAAUGGAGUACUGAUAUCAUUUAUGAGAAGAAGUUCAAGAGAAAGUGUAGAAAUUCUAAAGUGGAGCUAUUCGGAAGUCUACUGAAUCUGGAACCACAAAAGUUGUCUAGGUAGGAGAUUUAGGGAGGUUGUUGUUAGUAAGAUUGCCCAAGUAUGAAGAGGGAGAAGAUGCCCGAAGAUGGAACACUGGGGUCAACAGCUUUUAAGAGAUAAGCAAGGACACAUUGUCUCCUUGAUGGAGAAAGAGACAACAUGCUCAGAGAAGAUAAUCAGGAGAGAGUGAGGUCAUGGUAGCCAAAGGAGUAGAGAACUUCUAGAAGGGAAGGAGGAAUAAAUCAUGUCAGGUGCUUAUAGAGGUUGAAUAAGGUAAGUAUGGUCUAGUAUUCAUUGCACCAGCCAUUAGAAAUUUGUGGAUUGUUUGGAAGAAAAUAAUGGGUGGCUGGUGAGACCAGAUGCCAGAUCUCAAAUCUUUACCCACUACAUUGACUGGUGAGACAGUAGAGAUAGCAAAGGAAGAUUCUUCUUUUAUCAAGAAAGUUAGCUUUAAAGGAAAGCAGAGUAGAUGAAAACAUAGAAAAGGUUUUUAAAAGAAAUAGCUGAGAGAAGUAGAUUCAGGUAAGUGUUCAGGAAGAAGGGCAGGAAUUCAGAGAUGCCCUCCCUAAGAGGUUCUGCCUUCACAUGGUAAGCCUUGAAGUGGCAGCUGGAGGACUGAAAGAAUUGCCACUGACAGGAGUUGGCCAGGCAUCCGUUGUGUGUGAACAGCAUCAAGAACUCAGCUCAAUAUUAAGACCAUGAAUUUAUUGUCAAGGCUACCUUCACGUUCCUGUACUUUUAUGCUAGCAUGUUUAUGCAGUCUAGCUGUGGGAGGGAAGAUGCAUGGUCAGAUCUACCCAGAGAUUGGAUUUUAUAUAAUAGACAAACAGCAUGUGCAGAGAUCCUGUGGUAUCCAGAUUGGAUUUUAUAUAAUAGACAAACAGUAGAAUAAAGUGGCUAUAAUUUGGAUAUGGUUUGCAGGCUCUAGGAUCUAGUUCCACAAGUAAGAUAUUAAAAUACUUAGCAGGCAUUUGACCAUCUUGUCCACUGAUGUGCCAUCACCAUGUAUCCUGAGUAUCUGGAGCCACUCCUGGUACUACUAUGUGCUCAAUGAAUGUUUUCCAGUGAAUCAUUUUUCCAGAGCUCCAAAGCUUGGCCUUGGUCUGCCUUUACUACGUAACUAGUAGCUAUGAGAUUAUGGAUACAUGAUUUUACACUUUGGUUUCUUCCUGUGUAAAAUAAGAACUUUUCAAAUGUUAAUGAAGCAUUAGAAUUACAUUUGGAACAUGGUAAUUCCAGAUAAACAUUAACUGCUGUUAAAUAUUUUGCUUUCAUUCUCUUACCACUCAUUCUUGUAUAGUCUAACUUUGCCGGAAACAGUGUUUGACACAUAAUAAACAUUCAGUAAAUAUCUAUUGAGUGAACAGAAGGCUUUGUUUUUACUAUGAUAUAUUUAGCAGAUGUUAGUGUCAGUCAAGUGAGAGGCUAGAAGCCUGGUGAUUUAAAAUAUUGCUUUUUGCCUUAGAGAGUUUCAGAAUGUGGUUUAUGAGAGACAUUAACCAAAUAAGCCAAUAAAUGGAAAAUGAAGCCAGGUACCUUUGCGCACACCUGUAAUCCCAGUGGCUUUGGAGGCUGAGGCAGGAGAAUCCUGAGUUCAAAGCCAGCCUCAGCAAAAGCGAGGUGCUAAGCAACUCAGUAAGACCCUGUCUCUAAAUAAAAUACAAAAUAGGGCUGGGAAUGUGACCCAGUGGUCAAGUGCCCCCAAGUUCACUCCCCAGUACAAAAAAAUAUAUAAAUAAAUAAAAUAAAAUGAAACCUGGAAAAUUUUAUGGAGGAUUGUAAUACAAUACUGUGAGAGCCUUUGCUAGAGGACCUUACCAGGGAGAAAAAGUAAGAGUUCACUGAAGAAAUGAUGUUUAAAGCAGGUGGAGAGGGGACUGCAUGUGUAGAAGUCCUAUAGUGUCCAGAGUGGCUGAGGUGGAGUAGUGGGAGUGUGGUCUGAAACCAGGGUUAGGAAGGUGAAUGGAGUCAGACCAUAUUAAGAUUGAAAAAAUUUUAAAAAAAUGGAAAAAAUAUUGGCAAAGUAGAUGCUGCUAGACCAAUUAGGAGACUGCUAUAUCAGUUCCAACAAGAGGUGGUAAUUAUGUAGACUAGGGACAGGUGAUGGUGAUGGUGAUGGUGAAGGGAAAAGUGUUAGGCUUCUGAGGCAUUUGGAAAAUAGUAUUGAUGGGUAGGGUUGAAGAACAGGAAGCUUAUGAAUUUUGAUUUUAAAAAAAUAGUUGAACAAGGCCCUGGGUUCAAUCCCCAGCACACCCCCCCCCACACACACACACACAAAGAGUAGUUGAGAAAAGUAGAUGCAGGUAAGUGUUCAGGAAGGAGGGCAGGAGUUCAGAGAUGCCCUCCCUGGAAGUCCUGCCCUCACAUGGUAAGUCUUGAAGUGGCAGAUAGGGGACUGCAAAGAUUGCCAAACACUUUGGCUGUGUUUGAUCUACCUUGAAGACAUCCAAAAAGAAUUAACAGUUGGGCUGGGGAUGUGGCUUAAGCGGUAGCGCGCUCACCUGGCAUGCGUGCAGCCCGGGUUCGAUCCUCAGCACCACAUACAAACAAAGAUGUUGUGUCCACCGAAAACUAAAAAAUAAAUAUUAAAAAAAUCCUCUCUCUCUCUCUCUCUCUCUCUCUCUCUCUACUUAAAAAAAAAAAAAAAGAGUUAACAGUUAACAAUUGGAUGUACAAGCAUGGAGCUCAGAAAAGACCAAGUUAGAGUUGGUGGUUAUUUGAAGGGAUAUGUGUGAACAAAAUCUUGAGCAAGAAUAUGGCAGGAUAAGAGGAAAGGGCCUGGAAUUGAGUCUUGAAUAGUAAUGUUUCAUGGUUGCAGAGAGGAAGUUAAACCUCCAAGGGAAACAGAGGAAGGGACCAUCACAGUUCACAGAAGGCAGGAAAGGGAGCAGCCCACUGUGGAGGCUGCUAGGAGGGCAAGUGAGAGUAGUCUUGGGGUUGGGAGAGAGUAGGUCUUGGGAGACCUUUCUGAACAGCUGUGUGGGGACUGAUGCAGGUGAAAGGGGAGGCAGUGAGAGCAUGAGCCUGUGGCCAACUCUACAGGGUGUUCACUUCACCAGGUCUAACAGGGCAGAGAACCAUAACCAAGUUCAGGUUACAAUUUCAUCAUGCAAAGUAUUUAACCAAAUGUAUCUUUCUUUAUGCAUUCCAAGGAUCUACCGAUUUUGGAAAUGUUUCUUUUGUGGUCCCUGGAAUUCAUCCAUAUUUUUACAUUGGAUCCAACGCCUUGAAUCAUACUGAAGAGUACACUAAAGCUGCAGGUAGGCUGUUGAGAGUGCAGGUUUUCACAUGUGCUCACUCUUUUCCUAGCAGUAGUGCCUUUCUAACUAUUUAGUUUAGCUUGUUAUUUCAGAAAUAGAUUCCUUGGUGGGUAGUUGGAGAGGCAACUUAGGGAUUGGGACUUAACCUGAGGAAUUGAUAAGUUGAUUUUUAAUAAACAUAGAAAUAUUUUAAUUCAUUUUCUCUGUCCUUUAGGAUCACAAGAAGCUCAGUUCUACACUUUGCGAACAGCCAAGGCUCUAGCAAUGACUGCAUUGGAUGUUAUUUUUAAACCAGAAUUGCUGGAAAGAAUUAGAGAGGACUUUAAAUUAAAACUUCAGGAAGAACAAUUUUUAAAUACAGUAGAAUAAAAAGGAGACUUAGGAGUGGUUUAUGAAUCAUUAAGAAGUGAUGAUUUUUUUUUCUUUAAUCUUUUUUAAUGAAGAGAACAUGCUUGUUUUUAAUCUUAAAGGAAUCAAAUUCUCCUUACCUGAUAUGUAAGAACAGGGUAUGGUGAAAACAUAUUCACUCAUAUCUAAAAUGAAAUUUUUGGGUGAAUCUAUACUUGAUGGAAUUGUGAUAUUUCAGGAGUUGAUAGGUGAUACUGCUGCUUAAGAUGGAUGGUACAUGAUGUGUCAAAAUAAUAUUGACAAAAUCUGUAUAAUAAUUUACAGAUUUAUAUAUUAUAUAUUUUAAAAGGUCCAAGAGGUUUUAAACCUUAUAUACAGAAUUGACACCCACGAAAUGGUUUUGUGGUACAGAGUAGUAAACUUAUUUAAUGUAGUUUUAAAGUUCAUGGUCUAAAUUUAGGUAAAGUUUGUUUCAAAUAUUUCUGUUUUUGCUUCAAAAAAUCUCUUCAUUUAUAAUAAAAGUAGCUUUUAAUUAGAAAUGCUUACGGGUAACAACUAGAAACUCAGAUACAAAGAAUAACUUUAGUUUUACCAUUUGAAGAAAAAUGAGAAGAAUGUUCUAGUUUUUACACAUGAUCAACUCUGGGAAGUGGCAUUAAAGUAAUUGGUAAUUCAAUAUUACAGUAAGAGGGUAAAUGUUGGAUGGUCAGGAUCGGACUCUUCCUUUAAGGCAUUUGCAUGGUAGCCCUGAGUGUUCUAGGAGAACUCCGGGAGGAGCAUUGGCUGGCACCUACUCUGCUCUCUGGAAUGUUCAGAAUCCUGCACUGCCCCUCCAGCCAGCAGCCUGCUCAGGCUCCCACUCAGAAGCCAGCUUGCCCCACCUGGCUGCACUGAAUUUUGAGCCUCCUUAAGCCUCCUGCUAGCCCAAUAUUUUUAAAAAAUUAUUACAGGUUUUCCAUGAUUCUUAUUUUAGUGUGAAUUUCUUGAACAUGCUAAAAAGAAUGUGUGAAAAAAAUAUUUGGUAAAACAGAUAUUUUAAGCUGUGAAUGCAGUAAAGCUCCAAUGUACUUUAUUUUAAAGGAAGUCCUCAGCUUUGAACAAGCAUUCCAGAAAUGGAAGGGGAAGGAGAGAAAGUGUCCAUUUGGCUUUUAUGGUAUAAUAAGCAAGUCACUUGGGCCCUCUGAGCUAUCAACUCACUUUUUGAAAAGUUAGAUCUUCUACUUACAGUCUUUUGAACCCCUAAUUCCUGCUGUAAUUAUUUAAAAUUGCAAGAGAGGUGGUUGUGUUUGGGAGAGUUAGUAGUUGAGAACUGCCUUUCUUCUGUAUAAGAGUCUGUGGGUUAUGUGCCUGAUUUUGGCAUGUAGCUGCCUUCUUUUUUUUAAAACCUGCCAAGAAUGGGUUUAUGUUUUUUAAAGGGUUGCUAAACAAAACAAAACAGAGACUAAAUAAUAUGACCUGCAAAACCUAACAUCUUUGCUGUCUGGCCUUUUACAAAAAAGGUUGCCAGCCCUGGCUGUAUAUAACAGUAAAAUAAAAUCUGUGUCUCUUUGACUUAGGUCAUAUGGUCGGAUCUUCUGGAAUAAAACUUCAUAAAGAAACCCCAUAUCUUUUAGCAAUGACUUCUAAUGCUGUGAUUAGAAAUAAUUUCUUUCUUAACCCUCACACUUCAAAGGUAUUUUCAUAAACCUUUACUUAACUGAAAUUACCAUUGGUUGGUUUUUACAACAUCAAAUUUCUAAAUAUUUUAAAAUGUAAAGAGAGAAGUGUUAACUUAUAUCUAAACAAAGUGUUCCUUUUAGAAAAGGAAAGAUUCUGUUCAUCUCCUCCUCCUUUUUUUUUUGAGACCAGGACUCACUAACCUUGAACUUUUAGUUCUCUUGCCUCAGCCUCCCAAGUAGCUGGGUUUGAGGCAUGUAUCAUAGCACCUAGCUUUACCUCUUUAUUCUUACAAGAUGAAUGUUAAUUCUUAGGUGGUUAGCAAAUAAGACUCAUUUUUUUUUUAAAGACUGAGAGGGAGAGAGAGAGAGAGAGAGAGAGAGAGAGAGAGAGAAUUUUAAUAUUUAUUUUUUAGUUCUCGGCGGACACAACAUCUUUGUAUGUGGUGCUGAGGAUUGAACCCGGGCCGCACGCAUGCCAGGCGAGCGCGCUACCACUUGAGCCACAUCCUCAGCCCAAGACUCAUUUUUUUAAAAAAAUAUUUUGUGGUUGUAGACGGACACAAUACCUUUAUUUAUUUAUCUUUAUGUGGUGCUGAGGAUCGAACCCAGUGCCUCACCCAUGCUAGGCAAAUGCUCUACACUGAGUCACAACCCCAGCCCAAGACUCUUUUAUUUAGAAUAUUUAUAUUGUUUUUGAAGAAUGAGAUAACCAAGUUUUUGUUCAUUAGUUUCAUGACAUUUUAUUAUCACUAACACAUUCUGUGAUUAUAUAUAGUUUUCCUUCACUGCCUAUAUAUUUGAAGCUGGUGUGUGCAUAUUUUAAAUUUUAUUUUAUUUUGAUACUGGGAAUUAAACCCAGAGGUACUCUACCUUUGAGCUAUAUCCCUAGCCCCUGCCCCCUCUUUUUUUAUACCAAGGAUUGAUCCCAGGGCCAAUUAAUCACUAAGCCACAUCCUCAUCCCUUUUUAUUUUUUGAAUUUGAGACAAGACUUGCUAACUUGCUGAGGCUGACCUCGAACUUGUGAUUCUCCUCCCUCAGCCACUGGAGUAUUUAGGAUUACAGACAUGUGUCACCGUGCUUGGAUUGUUUUAAAAUUCUUAACAGUAUCUAGCAUAGUAGUUUACCUGGGAAUAUUCAGUACUUUUUGUUUUGUUUUGAUUGGAGUACUGGUGGUUGAACCCAGAGGCACCCUACCACUGAACUACAUCCCCAUACCUUUUUAAUUUUCAAAUGGGGUAUCUUUAAUUUGCUCAGGCUUCCCUUAAACAUGAUUCUCCUGCCUUCUGUCCUUUUUGAAUGAGAAAAUACUGCAUCCUUGCUUGAAAUCAUUAAAGUUUAAAAUAGCUCUGUGGAGAGAUCAUAGGUACAAAAUAUGUUUUAAUUUUGUGAACAUAGCAAUCUUUUGUACAAUCUGGAGUAGAAAUAGAUACCUUAUAUUACUUUGCUUCAGAUACAGGAAAACGAGAUUCAUUUUUGAAAAAGCUGCACUGGUUUAAUGCAAAGUUUAAAAUUAUAAGAUUUUAAAGAAUUAGUUUCUGAUCUAAAAUUAGUUUCUUGAGGUGUCUGUUUUAUGGAAAGGUCUUUUAUUGCAUGCAUUUAUAAUCUUUCAUGCUCAUACCCUACACUUUAAGCUUUUCCCUCAAAUACCAACUUUGGGCUGUGUUAAAUUAGUAUGCUUUAAAAGAUGUAAUGUAAAUUAAUGGUUUAAAUAUAAUUACAAACUGAAGAUGCUUUUGCUAUAGUGACAGUUUUAAGCAGGCUUGAAUAUGGGACCCUGUAAAACAAUUAUGUGUUAUAGGCUGAAUAUCUCUUAUCUGAAAUGCUUGGGGGCCAGAAGUGGUAUUUUGUUUUUUUGUUUUUGUUUGGUACCAAAGAUGCUUAGCCAGUGAGCCACAUUUUCAGCCGUUUUUUAUUUUUUAUUUCGAGACAAGGUCUUGCUAAGUUGCUUAAGGUGUCUCUAAAUUGAAGAGGUUGACCUUGAACUUGUGAUCUUCCUGCCUCUGUCUCCUAAAUCACUGGGAUUACAGGUGUGUGCCACCACACCCAGCCAGAAGUGUUUUGGAUUUGGGAGUUUAUUUGGAUUUUGAAAUAUUACAUAUCCAUAAUAAGAUAUCUUGGGGGAUGCCACCCAAGUUUAACCACAGAAUUUCUUCAUGUUUGCAUAUAUAUAUAUAUAUAUAUAUAUAUAUAUAUAUAUAUAUAUAUACAUACACACACACACACACACACACUUGGGCCAAAGAUAAUUUUAUAGAGUAUUUUUAGUGUGCCUGCAUUUUGACUGCAACCUGUCACAUGAAGUCAAGUGUGAAAUUUUUCACUUGUACAAUGUUGGCAUUCAGAAAGUUUGGGAUUUUGGAUCAUUUUGGGUUUUCAGAUUAGGGAUAUUCAACCUGUUUUAUUAAUUACCAAGUUGCUAUAUAAGAUUGAAUGCAGUUAGUAUUUAGCUUGUCUCUUAAAAUUUUGGGCUGCUUUUUAGUCUUGCAAAUUCUCCUUAUUUGAACCACUCAGGACAUUUUCCUCUUUUCAUUGCUUCCCUCUGUAGCACUCAGAAGUGCUGGGGCAUUUUGGAUAAACUAGAACAUUUUGUAUGUUUAUAAAUAUGUAUGUGAACUUAAAGCAUUUUGAUUUUCCACAAAGUUAUUUUCUUUGAUAUUUUAGCUUGUAAUCUUGACAUUUGAGCUCAAUAAACAUUUGUUGAAGAGUGCCUAUUUCUAAGAACUUGGUGAAAGAAUAAGACAAAGUCUCUGCUCAGAAAGCUUGCUGUUGGUGGCAAAUUCUCACUUCUUAAUUCUUUCUUCAUCUGAACAACACUGGGGCUGAAGCAACAACUGAAAGCUAUUGUCUUGGAAUUUUUUGAAAAAGUGUUUCUAAAAUAUUUUAAAAUAUCUGAGUUUCCCCAAUCUGUUUGAACAGAAGAAAUUGAUGUGCAAAAAUUUUUUAAAAAAAAGGAACGAAUGUCUUGUUUGAUAAUAUAUUCUGUAAAAAAAAAAUAUUAAAACCUUUCUGAUAGUUUUUGUGCAGUUCUAACUUUUUACCUUAAGAAGUCUUUUGGUAAAUGUCCUACAUACACCAGCCUUCGCAUUGUCAAAAUGAAUUUUCAUUAUAAGAUAAAUGUUGUCUUGGUGCUGUCUAGCAAUUUUUGUAAGGCUGCAAGCUAUGACAAAAUACUUUUUUUUUUUUUUUUUUACUUCAAGCAUCUUGUAGUACAAUUAUGGUUGAGGGUGGUGCAUUUUGAUGUGUGAAGUUGAAAUUUUCAAGUAAGCAAUCACUCUACUACCAUCAGAUUAUGAUAAUUUUUGUAAUAUUUUAAUAUAUAUUAAAAUGUGUAUGAAAUAUAAAAUGUUAAGUAUGUUUAAUAACACUUGUUAUUUUUAAAAUGAUGUAUAUGAAAAUACAUGAAGAUAAAGCACAAUUACCCAAAUGCACUAUGGUAAUACUGUAUUUUAUUAAUUUAUCAGUAUUGUAGGUGUUAGGUUGCCUUUCAGCUGUAUAAAUGCCACAUAUUAU